Molecule: long non-coding RNA, 1026 nt
Filed under: Varanus komodoensis (Komodo dragon)
Lineage: Eukaryota; Metazoa; Chordata; Lepidosauria; Squamata; Varanidae
Description: lncRNA (ENSVKKG00000003084.1)
Rfam family: tRNA (bases 490-560)
Source: RNAcentral
UCUUCUGCUGUGAUUAGGAUGCGGAUGGGGGAUUCUGUGGGGACAACUAUGCGAUAAUUAACGUCAAGAAGGCGGAAGAAUCCGUUGGGCAGGUCUUCAGUGGGGAUUAUAUACGAGUCAAAGGACAUGUUCUUGUAGUCAGUGUAUUCAUAGCUUCAAUAUCAUUGGUGUCCGAUAGUUUUGAUGGUCAAGCAAUUACGAUUAGGAUAAUUGCUGGGAGAGCGGUUCAAAUGGUUUCAAUUUCUUGGGUGUCUAUGGUAUCAGUAUGUGUAAGGUUGGUAGUUAGUGUUAGGGUUGCGGAGUAUACAACUACAGCGCUGAUAAGAAGCAUGAUGAUGAGAGCGUGAUCAUGGAGAUGGAGGAGUUCUUCUAUAAUGGGAGAAGUGGCGUCUUGAAAUCCUAGCUGGGUUGGGUGGGCCAUUAGAACUCAUAGGGUUUAGCCUAUAACUUAGCGCUGACAGGGCUAUAUAAUGAUUUACUAGGGUUCUUAAGAGAGAAGUAUAAAGGUGAUGCGUCCUGUUUGAAACUGGAAUAAGGUGGUUCAAUUCCUCCCUCUCUUGACUCAGUUGUGGCUGGAGUAGGGUCCUCAUCGUUUGAAUGAGUAUCGAUUUUGCAUUUCUUGGACUAGUACUGGCUCUUCAUAGGUGUGGAAGGGCGGUGGAGAUCCAUGGAUUCACUCGAGAUUAGCUUCGGGUGAGGCUGUUGUUAGAACGAGGCGCUUAGCGGAAAAAGCUUCUCAAAUGAUAAAAAUUAUUAUGAUGACUCCUAUAAGGGAAAUUAGGGAUCCAAUUGAUGAUAAUGCAUUUCAUAGGGAGUAAGCGUCUGGGUAAUCAGAAUAUCGACGUGGUAUACCUGCGAGGCCAAGAAAAUGUUGAGGGAAGAAGGUUAUGUUAACUCCAAUAAAUAUCGUACCAAAUUGAAUUUUGGUUCAUAGUGGGUGGAGUGUAAAACCUGAGAAUAGAGGGAAUCAGUGCAUGAAUCCUGCUAUAAUUGCGAAGACUGCUCCUAUGGACAGAACGUAGUGGA